GUGAAUCAUCGAAUCUUUGAACGCACAUUGCGCCCCUUGGUAUUCCGGGGGGCAUGCCUGUUCGAGCGUCAUUUCAACCCUCAAGCUCUGCUUGGUCUUGGGCCGCGCCGGCAACGGCGGGCCUCAAACACAGUGGCGGCGCCCUCGUGUCCCUCAGCGUAGUAAUUCUUCUCGCUGCUGGGCCGCGGUGGCCGCUGGCCAGCAACCCCCGAUUUUUCUAUGGUUGACCUCGGAUCAGGUAGGGAUACCCGCUGAACUUAAGCAUAUCAAUAAGCGGAGGA
RNAcentral lists this unclassified non-coding RNA (281 nucleotides) under Chalara sp. RNAcentral describes it as "partial contains 5.8S ribosomal RNA, internal transcribed spacer 2, and large subunit ribosomal RNA". The stretch from base 1 to 71 matches the Rfam family "5.8S ribosomal RNA", at positions 84 to 154 of the family's 154-position model. Lineage: Eukaryota; Fungi; Ascomycota; Leotiomycetes; Helotiales. The record is from RNAcentral.